RNAcentral lists this ribosomal RNA (448 nucleotides) under uncultured bacterium. RNAcentral's name for it is "SSU rRNA". It matches the Rfam family "Bacterial small subunit ribosomal RNA", at positions 26 to 518 of the family's 1533-position model. The record is from RNAcentral.
AGAACGAACGCUGGCGGCAGGCCUCAAACAUGCAAGUCUAGGGGGUGUAGCAAUACAUCACCGGCGGACGGGUGCGUAACGCGUGGGAAUGUACCUAUUGGUUCGGAACAACUGAGGGAAACUUCAGCUAAUACCGGAUGAGCCCGAAAGGGGAAAGAUUUCUCGCCAAUAGAUCAGCCCGCGUCCGAUUAGCUAGUUGGUGGGGUUAAAGCCUACCAAGGCGACGAUCGGUAGCUGUUCUGAGAGGAAGAUCAGCCACACUGGGACUGAGACACGGCCCAGACUCCUACGGGAGGCAGCAGUUGGGAAUCUUGGACAAUGGGGGAAACCCUGAUCCAGCCAUGCCGCGUGAGUGAUGAAGGCCUUCGGGUUGUAAAACUCUUUCGACGGGUACGAUAAUGACGGUACCCGUAGAAGAAGCUCCGGCUAACUUCGCGCCAGCAGCCGC